AUCAGCCUUUUGGGUAUGAUUCUGUGGAGCGUGAGGAGUUAAACGCCUUCAUGCCUGCAUAUUCGUGCUCUUGGGUGUACUUGCUCGUGUGGUUGGUUAACAUCAAUUUCGGUUAUCAAAAAAUGGUUGGAGGAAUGUAGCUUCGAUUUCGAUUGAAGUGUUAUAGCCUUUGGCAGAUGUGAUGAUCGGGAUUGAGGAUUGCAACGGAUACCCUUCGGGGCUACCUGUCUGAUCUCUGAUCGUUGCUCUGGUGCCGAAAGCUUGCUUACGGUUAUCAAAGUCGAUGGUCAACAGGUUAGAAUGGGUUAAAUUCGUUAAGGAUGUUGACGUAAUGGCUUU
This 339-nucleotide ribosomal RNA is filed under the name uncultured Glomeromycotina. RNAcentral's name for it is "eukaryotic LSU rRNA". The record is from RNAcentral. Lineage: Eukaryota; Fungi; Glomeromycota.